GGGAAGUAGUCUGCAGUCUCUACUUGGAAGAAGGGAGUUUCCAUUGACUCCAACAGGGCACUCAGAAUGUCUGAAAAUCAACCAUUUAUAACUAGGUUGGUGAGUUUUAUCUGGGCCAUCGGAGGCUACCUCUACCUUUAUGGCUCUGGAGCUGCUCACAGACUGUCAGGUGAAGAUUGAAAUCUUCAGCAACAAAUGCUGACCCCCUACUGCCUGCUAUGGCAUUGUUUACUGGAAACUGGCAAUGGUUCUCUGGCAUUCUGCCUGAAUAAGGAAGAACAUCUGCAGAGAUAA
Molecule: long non-coding RNA, 294 nt
Organism: Mauremys reevesii (Reeves's turtle)
Lineage: Eukaryota; Metazoa; Chordata; Testudines; Geoemydidae
Exons: 3
Source: RefSeq, a predicted model, not a curated record